This 416-nucleotide ribosomal RNA is filed under the name uncultured Anaerolineaceae bacterium. RNAcentral describes it as "bacterial SSU rRNA". It matches the Rfam family "Bacterial small subunit ribosomal RNA", at positions 951 to 1382 of the family's 1533-position model. Lineage: Bacteria; Bacillati; Chloroflexota; Anaerolineae; Anaerolineales; Anaerolineaceae. The record is from RNAcentral.
UAGUCGUUACACGAAGAACCUUACCAGGGUUUGACAUGCAAGUGGUAGGAAACUGAAAGGGGACCGACCUUCGGGAGCUUGCACAGGUGCUGCAUGGCUGUCGUCAGCUCGUGUCGUGAGAUGUUCGGUUAAGUCCGCUAACGAGCGCAACCCUCACUGUGUGUUACAUGUGUCACACGGGACUGCCGGUUUUAAGCCGGAGGAAAGUGGGAUGACGUCAAGUCAGCAUGGCCUUUAUAUCCUGGGCUACACACACGCUACAAUGGUCGGUACAAUAGGUUGCCAAGCCGCGAGGCGGAGCCAAUCCAAAAAAGCCGGCCUCAGUUCAGAUUGUAGGCUGCAACUCGCCUGCAUGAAGAUGGAGUUGCUAGUAACCGCAGGUCAGCAAUACUGCGGUGAAUACGUUCCCGGGCCUU